UACGGAGGAUCCGAGCGUUAUCCGGAUUUAUUGGGUUUAAAGGGUGCGUAGGCGGGUGCAUAAGUCAGUGGUGAAAUCCUUCUGCUUAACAGAAGAACUGCCAUUGAUACUGUGUGCCUUGAGUACAAAUGAAGUGGGCGGAAUGUGUAGUGUAGCGGUGAAAUGCAUAGAUAUUACACAGAACACCGAUAGCGAAGGCAGCUCACUAAGCUGUAACUGACGCUGAGGCACGAAAGCGUGGGGAU
RNAcentral lists this ribosomal RNA (245 nucleotides) under uncultured bacterium. Its description in RNAcentral is "partial 16S ribosomal RNA". It matches the Rfam family "Bacterial small subunit ribosomal RNA", at positions 524 to 768 of the family's 1533-position model. The record is from RNAcentral.